GGCAAAUACUAUGCGAUAUCACGUACAUAUGGAAUCUAUAAAAUAAUACAAAUGAAUGUAUAUGCAAAACAGAAACAGACUCACAGAUAUAGAAAACAAACUUGUGGUUAGCAAAGGGGUAGAGGGAAGCGAGGAGAGACAAAUUAGGGGUAUAAGAAUAACAGAUACAAACUAAUAUAUAUAACAUAGGUAAGCAACAAGGAUAUACUCUAUUUCACAGGGAACUAUA
Vicugna pacos (alpaca) is the source of this 229-nucleotide non-coding RNA. NCBI's taxonomy places the organism in Eukaryota, Metazoa, Chordata, Mammalia, Artiodactyla, Camelidae. The record is from RefSeq and is a predicted model, not a curated record.